GCGCCUGUAGCUCAAUGGAUAGAGCACUUGACUACGGAUCAAGAGGUUAGGGGUUCGAGUCCCUUCGGGCGCA
RNAcentral lists this transfer RNA (73 nucleotides) under Dietzia sp. Its description in RNAcentral is "tRNA-Arg". It matches the Rfam family "tRNA". From Rfam's summary of the family: Transfer RNA (tRNA) molecules are approximately 80 nucleotides in length. Their secondary structure includes four short double-helical elements and three loops (D, anti-codon, and T loops). Lineage: Bacteria; Bacillati; Actinomycetota; Actinomycetes; Mycobacteriales; Dietziaceae. The record is from RNAcentral.